This 966-nucleotide long non-coding RNA is filed under the name Oncorhynchus kisutch (coho salmon). RNAcentral's name for it is "lncRNA (ENSOKIG00005027602.1)". Lineage: Eukaryota; Metazoa; Chordata; Actinopteri; Salmoniformes; Salmonidae. The record is from RNAcentral.
CCCUAGUCAUGGACUGUUCUCUCUCAUAAGACUCCUAAUCAAAUGGCUACCUAUACUAUUUGCACCCCCCCCCCCCCCCCGCGCUGCUGCUACUGUCUGUUAUUUCUAUGCAUAGCCACUUUAACAACCCUACCUGCAUGUACAUAAUUGUUAAUUACCUCGACACCAGUUCCCCGCACAUUGCCUCUGUAUCGGUACCCCCUGUAUAUAGCCCCGCUAUUGUUAUUCACUGCUGCUCUUAAUUAUUUGUUUUUCUUAUCUCUUACUACUUAAUUUUUAUUUUUUAGGUAUUCUCUUAACCGCAUCGUUGGUUAAGGGCUUGUAAGUAAGCAUUUCACUGUAACCUGUUGUAUUUGGCGCAUGUGACAAAUACAAUUUGAUUUGAAACAAUACAUGCCAGCUCUUUUUCUUUUUUUGCACGCUGGAAUAUUGUGGUGAGGUUAUUGCUGUUUUACCAUGGUUAUUUCAAAUAUUAAAGGUCAACUUACCAAGACUUGUGUGAGAAAUUGUGUUCAGGUUACUUUAAAAUACAAUUAUUUAAUUGAAAAAUAGUGUUUUUGGAUGUUUCUUGGCUUUAAUGAUCUCCUCUUUCUAUGAUCCAUCUGUGAGCUUCUGAGUGUUGGGGUGAACUCCUGGCUGUUAUGUAACUCAGUGUUUUUUCUUCCCUGGCCUGCACAGCUGCAGCACAGAAGGGGAGAGAGGCUGAGCAGACAGAACUGGCCCUUUGGCAUUGGACCCUCAGUCUGCAGGCCAAGGUGCUGGAGGCUAUGGGUCGCGGAGCAGCACCGGAAGCAGGAGAGGCUGGCCCAGGCUGCCCAGUUCUAUAGAGACCAGCUUCUGAGGAAAGGGGUGGCCCACGCAGCUCACAUGGGCAGCUUCUGCACCAACAUAGCACUUCACAGCCAGGAGCAGAGUUCUUCGCGGUGUCUCCAGGGGUGGUGUUGCAGUGGAAACAGACAGCAGUGA